Molecule: unclassified non-coding RNA, 55 nt
Filed under: Mycobacterium celatum
Lineage: Bacteria; Bacillati; Actinomycetota; Actinomycetes; Mycobacteriales; Mycobacteriaceae
Source: RNAcentral
CCACACGCAACCACACCACAACCACCCCACCCCACCACCAACACACCAGAAUAAA